Long non-coding RNA from Coturnix japonica (Japanese quail), 464 nucleotides. RefSeq lists it as uncharacterized. The record is from RefSeq and is a predicted model, not a curated record. NCBI's taxonomy places the organism in Eukaryota, Metazoa, Chordata, Aves, Galliformes, Phasianidae.
GGGAUGGCCCGGGGGGCGGAGGAUGGCCGACACCGCCCAGAAGCCGCGCUGGCAGCGCAGCUCCGGCCCCGUAGCCAGAGUGUGGCUCGAGCAUCGCUGUAGGAGCCCGUGGCCGCCCCCUCCCGAGCUCGGAGCCGUCCCCUAAAGUUUAUUUUUAGCCCCCGGAAAGCGCUAUAAAGGUCCCGCGGAGCGAGCGGGCCGGGAGACGUGGCACCGCGCUGCCUGCAGCCACUUCUCUGAACUGUUACCUUCAAAAUGAAGAGCAAGGCAGAGGUGAGAACAAAGAAAGCCUUGGAAAAAUCCAGUCAUAACAUCCGAGGAAUAGAAAUAAUAGGAAAUACUUAUAUGGUCAGAAUUUGGAUGGAAUUUAUGAGAAGUUACAAAGGGUCCAAUUACAUUUGAAUCUAGAUUUGGGAAUUUUUAUUUUGUACAUAAUAAAGAUACCAGUGCAUCUUUUCUUUGGA